RNAcentral lists this long non-coding RNA (33931 nucleotides) under Zea mays. RNAcentral's name for it is "long non-coding RNA (ZMAY_LNC004210)". The record is from RNAcentral. Lineage: Eukaryota; Viridiplantae; Streptophyta; Magnoliopsida; Poales; Poaceae.
CCUAUUGUGUUCAAAAGGGGGAGAAAGUAGUAUUUCAAAAAUGAUAUAUCAAAACCCUCUUGAACACUAAGAGGAGGAUCUCCUUUAGGGAGAGUUUUUGUUUAGUCAAAGGAAAAGCAUUUGAAACAGGGGGAGAAAAUUUCAAAUCUUGAAAAUGCUUUGCAAAAUCUUACUCAUUUACCUUUGACUAUUUGCAAAAGAACUUUGAAAAAGAUUUACAAAAGAAUUUGCAAAAACAAAGCAUGUGGUGCAAGCUUGGUCCAAAAUGUUAAAUAAGAAAGUAACGAUCCAUGCAUAUCUUGUAAGUACUUAUAUUGGCUCAAUUCCAAGCAACCUUUACACUUACAUUAUGCAAACUAGUUCAAUUAUACACUUCCAUAUUUGCUUUGGUUUGUGUUGGCAUCAAUCACCAAAAAAGGGGGAGAUUGAAAGGGAAUUAGGCUUACACCUAGUCCCUAAUUAAUUUUGGUGGUUGAAUUGACCAACACAAAUAAUUGGGCUAACUAGUUUGCCCAAGUGUAUAGAUUGUACAGGUGUAAAAGGUUCACACUCAGCAAAUAAAAAGACCAAGUUUUGGAUUCAACAAAGGAGCAAAGGGGCAACCGAAGGCACCCCUGGUCUGGCGCACCGGACUGUCCGGUGUGCCACCGGACAUGUCCGGUGCACCAGGGGACUCAGACUCAAACUCGCCACCUUCGGGAAUUUCCAGAGGCGACUCGGCUAUAAUUCACCGGACUGUCUGGUGUACACCGGACAGUGUCCGGUGCGCCAAGGGAGGUCGGCCUCAGGAACUCGCCAGCUUCGGGAAACUCCAACGGCUAGUCCACUAUAAUUCACCGGACUGUCCGGUGUGCACCGGACUGUCCGGUGCGACUCCGGAGCAACGGCUAUCUCCGCGCCAACGGCUCUCUGCCGCGCAUUUAAUGCGCGCUCUGCGCGCGCAGAGGUCAGGCGCGCCCAUACUGGCACACCGGACAGCAAACAGUACCUGUCCGGUGUGCACCGGACACCUAGGCGGGCCCACAAGUCAGAAGCUCCAACGGUCAGAAUCCAACGGCAGUGAUGACGUGGCAGGGGGCACCGGACUGUCUGGUGUGCACCGGACUGUCUGGUGCGCCAUCGAACAGACAGCCCAGCCAACGGUCAAGUUUGGUGGUUGGGGCUAUAAAUACCCCAACCACCCCACCAUUCAUUGCAUCCAAGUUUUCCAGCUUCCAACCACUAUACAAGAACUAGCAUUCAUUGCAAAGCACACCAAAAGAGAUCAAAUCCUCUCCCAACUCCACACAAAGCAUUAGUGAUUAGAGAGAGUGAUUUGUAGUGUUCAUUUUAGCUCUUGCGCUUGGAUCGCUUCUUUUCUUUCGCAUUCUUUCUUGUGAUCAAACACUCACUUGUAAUUGAGGCAAGAGGCACCAAUCGUGUGGUGGCCCUUGCGGGAAGUUUGAUUCCCAAGUGAUUUGAGAAGAGAAGCUCACUCGGUCCGAGGGACCGUUUGAGAGAGGGAAGGGUUGAAAGAGACCCGGCCUUUGUGGCCUCCUCAACGGGGAGUAGGUUUGAAAGAACCGAACCUCGGUAAAACAAAUCCGCGUGUCACACACUUCAUUAUUCGCUUGCGAUUUGUUUUGCGCCCUCUCUCGCGGACUCGUUUAUAUUUCUAACGCUAACCCGACUUGUAGUUGUGUUUAUAUUUGUAAAUUUCAGUUUCGUCCUAUUCACCCCCCCCCUCUAGGCGACUAUCACCUACAUGUACCAUUUUGGCACAAUUAUAAAAGUGUUUCCUAUAACUAUUGGAUUUAGUUCGUUUAAUGGAAUUUUCUUAGAUAAUUCAGAUUUGAACUGCAAGUCACUCAAAACUUGGAAAACCGUGCAUGCAAAAAUGAUAUUCAUGUUAUUUAGCACAAGUUACGCUCGAUAUCAGGAGCGGACCGGAAACUUCGAGCACCAAGCUCACUAAACAUGGUCGUGAACUUGCCAUCCAACUGUUUCAAAAUUGUAUAAAACAUAAUCAAAGUCAGAAAAUCAUGAAACUUGUCCACAUGUCAUGAUAUCAUAUAUGGAGUCUGUGAUAAAAAUUUGAGAAUGUUUCGAGAAAGUUGUGACGCACUAUGUGUAGAAACCUAAGAGAACGACAUUUAAACUCUAUGAUUUUAAGGGUUGGGAUGUUGUGUAUAAGGUAUCGCCGCACGGGAGAUUAUAUGUUCCUAACGAUGAAGAUUAUAACUUAGACCCGGACACAUAUGAUGGAGAGUUCUUCCAAGAAGAUGGGCUGGAAGGGCGAUUUGAGAUAGACUUAAUAGAAGCUAUCGGAAUGGACGUAGAUAUUGAAAUGGUUGUUGAUGAGGAGGAGGAGGAGGUGCAAAAUGAUAAUGACUUAGUAAUCCUUGAAGGCAAUGACAUUAACGACGAACUUGCGUCUUCAGAUGGCAUUGACUAUGAAAUGGUUGAUAGUGACGAUGAGAGUUAUGAUCCGGCUAACCCCGACAUAUAUGAAGAUUAUUUUUAAUCGAUGUAAUGUUAUAUGACUUUUUAUUUCACACAUGUUUUUAAAUACAUCUUUUUAUAUGUGAUUAUUUGUUUACUCUUAAUUGUAGGUUGUUGGACAAAUAUGGUGGGCGGUUGGCUGAGGAGGAGGAGGGGGAGGAGCAGGACGGCGGACGAGGCACAGCAGGCGACUCAGCAGGACGACCUUGUCCAGCAGCAGGCGACGCAGCAGGACGACGACGACCAGCAGUAGGAUGACGACCAGCAGGAGGAGGUCGCCUCAGGUUUGAGGAGCGUCUACCUGCGAGGUCCUGCGAGUCUCCCUCAGCGUCCCAUACUUCGGGACAGGCGGCCGCUGAUUCGGCCGGAUGGGGAGAGGCAUGUAACUUUAUGUUCUUCAUUCUUGUUCAUAUUAUGUGUUCAAAAUCAUAAUAUGAACUAAUACUUUUUAUUUAUCACUUGGACAGGUCUUGGACGGUUGUGGAGAAUGCUGGGGAUCAUCGUCACAACCCCAAUGGCAUCCUCGAUCUGCUGUGCAGGGAACACUUCCCUGGACUGGUUGAGUACGCCGGAGUGACGGACCCAGCCUACACCUUCGACCACUACGUCGUCGCCCCCGAUGCAGUAGACCGGGACGACCGGAAAUUCAAUAACAAGGCGGAGCAGGUGAAGAAAGAGUUGUGGGUAAGUCUUAGUAUAAUGUAAAAUAUGUCGCAUUCGUUGCACAUGCUUGAAAUAAUGUAUGGAUACAUCAUUUUUGUAUGCAGGAUUUUUUCAGAUGUGAGGCAGGAUACGAGGCUAGGGCGGAUGUGGUGGCCACCACGAGCUGUAAGAAGCUCGUCGUGGACAUGCACUAUGAGGCCCAAAUCCAGGCCAUCGUCAGCUACCAUGGCUUUGGGGAGAAGGUGACCAAGCAGCAAGCCCGAACCAUGUUGUUGACCAGAGACCAGUACCUGCAGGUAAAUUCAUGCAUGUUUGGUACCAGUACUCCAUGCAUGAAUUUAAUUUUAUCUUCUGAUAUGCAGUGUACGUGUUUACUUUGUAGAUGAUUCCACAUUGGUGCGUCGCACAUCCUCUGUGCUGAGAGCAGAUGGUGGAUAUGUGGUGCUCGCCUGAGUGGGACGAGGCGCACAACGCUAGCCGGGAACGACGUCUGAUGAUGCAAGGUCCCUCCCACCACCAAUGCAGCCGUAGCCUAGGCCAAUAUGCAGAAGCAUGGGUACGCCCUCUUUUUUAUUUAGGUAUAUAGCACUGGAUUAGAUAUUAUUUCUAACUAUCUCGUUGGUUUUCUUGCAGUCAGCAUCACAUGGUGGCCGACCUUGCUCCAUCUUCUCGGCCUAUGCUAUGGCCCAUAAGGGCAAGGCGACGUCCGACGUCACCUACAACCCGGAUGACGGGCCCGAGGCGUACAGCAACCCUGUCGUCUACAGUCGUCUUCAUGAUUACAUCGCCAUGGCGCAAGAGGUCCAUGGCCUAGAAUAUGAUCCGAGCACCGAGCAGAUCGACCCCGAUGUGCUCAUGAGGGUCGGAGGAGGCAAGAGACAUGGGCGGUACUAGAUUGCCGACGGGGCAAUCGACUCGUCGUCCACUCCCACUCUGUCUUAGGUGCGAGCAAGGAGCACGGGCUCGAGUCCAACCAUACGACCUCGGCACGACAGCUCACAGCAUCGCAUACAGCAACUCGAGGUUAGUGCUUUUAUAACUCGCCAUUUCUUGAGUUAUAUACCUUCUUUUUGAGUUACUAUAACAUUGUCUUGGAAUAUUACAGACCCAGCUAGAAGAAGAGAGGAGCGAACACCAAGAGAUGGAGGCGAGGAUGGAAGCAGAGCGGGAGGCCCGCCUGGCAGAUCAGCAGAGGAUGGCGAAGAUGUUUCAAUAUAUGCAGAGCCUUGGCGCCGCAUAGGGUUUCGCUCUGCCACCUCCAUUGUUCCCUACAAUUGAUCUUGCACUGUUCCAUACUCCUGCGAGUAUCAAAAUUGUAGUUAGAUGUUGGUAAUGCAUCUGGUAUAACACAUGCAAUCUCUUCUCUGUGCAGGGCUGUAACAUCCAAAUUCUAAACUUGGGAUUGGUAGACAAAAUCUGAGCAAAGUACCCUUGAUAAAUAAUUGGACGUUAUAAUUCACCCUUUUAAAGGUAGAUGAUCAUAAUAAAAUAAUGAUAGUUAAAAUAAAUCAUAAUAAAGAGUAGACAUUUAAAAAUGUUCCUAUCAAAACAAAGGGAGAAUUUUUAUUUUGAGUACACACCCAAAAUAAUAAUGUAUUGCAAUAAUGUGUUGUACUUCAUGUUGAAAACAUUACCUAAUUAAAAUAGUAAUAAAAUAAAUAAAGUAAUACUAUGUAGAAAUUGUGAAUCAAGUUGGGGUUUUGCUUAUGCAUAAAUUUGAACUUUAGAAUUCAAACUUGGUUUGAAUUGGAUUUGAAAUAAGAAUUUGAAAUAGAUAUCAAAAAAGAAAAAGAAAGAAAAAGCUUCUCCGCUUGGGCCCAUCCGUUCCGUGGCCCAACUUCCUUUUCCCACUCGCGGCCGAGCAAUCCCCGCCCGCGUACUCUACCAUGUGGGCCCCGUUGGUCAGUGGCUCCCUCUCGUGUGCGCUGCUCUCCGCAUCCGUGCGGGGUUGAGAGCACCUUCGGGCUGACAGUGGGCCCCCCUCAUCAGACUCUCCUGUUCACCUUCUCCAACUGCAACAGCGUGUUAUCUCCCACACGAGCUCCGUAACUGAAUCAACGAAUUCACCGCGAGGUUGUAGAUCCAAUUCCUUGAUCCGUGCUCGGACUCUAUCCGUUCUUGGGGUAUAAAAACACUUCCGUCGGCCCUACCUUGCCCCCAUCAUCCAUGGAGUGCAGAGGACAUCAGAGCGAGAGAGAGAAGAAAAUUUGUCGCUGCGGGGUGGGAGCUGUGAAGGACCGCCGCGCACGCUGGCCAUCUGCGACCUCACUGCGGCUGUAUUGGCUUGCCGGUGAAUCACCAAAGCUCGUGUACCUGGGCUCUGCGUGGGUGGUCACGAUUGGGUAUCCAGGCAGGGUGGCUACCUUGUCAGACUCCAUCUUUGCCGACGUGGUUCGACCUCCACCGCGAUUAGGGCAUAGCGCCACCGGAUUCACGGUACAAAUUACUCCCUCUUGAACUUCCUUUGUACUGGAUCGCGUUGCACUGGUUGGCUUGCGUCGGAGCUAGUGGAAUUGCUCUCUGUGAAGCCUGGCGCCGCCGCGGGCCGCGCCAUUCCGUGGCUGGGAUCGUCGAGAAUUUAAUAGCAGAAAUUGGUUCCACGUUCGAGUUCUACUCCGUUCCCUCAUCAUGUGGCACCAAAUCACCCAUGGAUUAGAGCAUCGGGGCGCCGAAUUGGCCUAUGCCGGUGGGAUCGCCGCUGCGGCUUGCCCUGCACCGCCGCCUGGUUGGUAUGGUGUAGGUGAUGGUCCCAGUACCGUCGAUCUGAUGAAGAACGGUGGCGAUUAGAAACAGAAUGUCGGUCUGGUCGGAUGUGGCGUGGGUCGUUCGAUUCCGAUCGAUCGGACGUGCGUGGGAUUAGGUUGCGUACCGGUUUGCAUGGUAGUGGAGUUAAUCCUGGCCGUUCACACUUGAUCGGACGACUGAGGACUUAUGAUACCCCUUCGGAUCGCUGACUUUACAAAUAGGACCCUCUGUUUUAGGUAACAAACUCGCGGUCCACUGCAGAAGUAGAGUGAGUCUAGGAAUUUUCAUAGAUUAGCCCCUGUGCUUCCUGGUAUUGGUGUGCGCAGUCCAGGAGAUAAAGAAAAUAAGAAAAAAGAAUUUAGAAAUUGAUUUUGAGUUUAAAAAUAAUUGCAGAAGCUCAAUUAAUUCAUAGAAAAUUCGUAUGAUGUCCAAAUUAGUCCAUUCCAAUUGCUAUAAUUUUGUAAUAUUAUUGUUUAUCAUUUGUACCACUGUUUUGGCAUAAAAGUCAUAUUAAAAUUUAUAUUCUAUUUAAUCUUGUACAAAGCACAUAAAACCUUAGGAAAUUCAUAACUCCUUCGUUUUAACUCCGAUUUGAUAUGUUUCAGUUGCGUUAGCUUCGUAUAAGUAUUUACUAUGCAAUAACAACACUUAUUAUACCAUGUCUUAUUAUGUUAUAAUUAGGUCUUUAUUUAACUUAUGUUGUUUAGUCUUGUUAAUGAGCUCAUCAUUAUCUACCAAAAUAUAAUUUAUGGUAAAUUUAUAAAUUAGAUUAAAGUUGAGAUAAUUAUUUAUAGAAUAAUCUCUCAUAUGAUUUAUACUAACCAAGUGAUAACAUAGUUUAAUGGUUAAAUCAUAACUCCUUAAUCGUAACUCCGAUUUUAGUGGUUCUCGUUCCCACAAUCUCGUAGCAACGCGUAGAUCAUUAUUAUUCAAUUUGUUCUCAUGUUUGGUGUGAUAUUGAUUUUAUCUAUACAAUGUUUGUUUGUAUUGCUACGACUAGCGCGAGGUUUCGAGGAUCUGAAGAAUCAUCCUGGUAACUCGAAUCUCAAGUGCCAGGCAAGUUGUGCCCUUGAUCCACUUUUGUUACCUAAUAAUAUUCUUUAUUAUCACUUAUCAAUGCAUAGGUUUAAUUUUGAUGGGACCCAAUAGGUCACCCUAGUCUGUUUAUCCUGUUUACCUUGUUUACCCCUGAUUCACUUGGGUAGUUAUGCUAUUGCAUUAUAUGGUUUUUGGGAUAAUAUUUCAUUACAUCCAUGUUCCUAUUAUUUGGUUAUGUUAUUUAUGUUCAUGAUAAGAUCAUUAUGUUAAUGGGAACAUGGAGCGACCACCCGGGAAAACAGUGCUACCACAAGGGUUUAAUGGGACGCCCUUGGCUGAUUAAUUAGGAAAGCUAGUGGAUGACUACUUUACCCGAAAGGGGCAAGGGCAGUAGGGGAGUGGUCAGUGUAGGGAGGUCCUUGGGUUGAUUUUGCUGUGAUGACGGCCAGGCGAGGGAUUCCUGCACUGGAGUUUCCUAUAAACUCUAGCAGGUUUUCUGAAGCUAGUGGAACUUUGUAAAGGCCUCGUAGUGUUACCCUGCCUCACCUCCUUGGUAGAGGUGUAUGGGAUUCAUGACCCCUUGGCAAAUGGGUAACAUGACUUGUGGGUAAAGAUACACAACCUCUGCAGAGUGUAAAACUGGUAUACUAGUCGUGCUCACGGUCAUGAGCAGCUCGGACCCUCACAUGAUUAAUCUAUGGAAUUAAAACUCAAUUUGUCAUAUCAUUGCAUUGGGAUUAUUUUGUUGUUACUUUUACUUAUUAUUUAUUAUGGUUUGGUAUUUACUUACACUUAGUAACUUCUAAUAAAAUUUUGACCAACUUAUAAAAGCAAUGCUCAGCUUCAACCUUUAUUUUGUUGAUCAGUCUUACACUUCACAUGAACUCCCAGCUUUGGUGAGUUCAUGCCACAUUAUUCCCCACAACUUGUUGAGCUAUGAUCAUGUGUGAGCUCACCCUUGCUGUCUCACACCCCCACAGGAGAAGUACAGGUGGUUCAAGAGGAGCCACACAUCGAGGAGUUCGAUUCGAUCUAGGUGGCGUCUCCCAGUUGACUUUCUGGCGCCAAGGAUGGAUUUUAAAUCCUGUUAUAUUUAUCUUUUAUUUUUUUUGUAAGUCUUCCGCUAUGUAAUAAGUACUCUGAUUAUUGUGACAUUUAUCUUUAUACACUCUGUUAUUAUAUAUGUUGUCUUCUUUGGCGCAUGUAUGAGAUACACCCGGCUUUGUCCCUUAAAGCCCGGGUGUGACAAGGGGCCAAUCUAGGGCGGCAUCCAACAACCCUCAUGGAUCGCCCGGUCCAUCGUCGCACCAGUCCAGCCGCCCACCUUGAUGAGAGUUAUGUUCUAAGUGUUGAGACUUCAGAACUUGUGUUGAAUACUUAUGUUUGUGUUAGAAACUUUCGUCAUCCGUCUCGUCAUUUCGACUUAUGAGACUUAUGUUCUUGAUACUUAUGUUUGUGUUCAGAACUUGGAUAUUUAUGUUUGUGUUGAAUAUUUAUGUCUGUGAUGAAAUCAGUGAUGUAUAUAUGCGAUAUAUGUGAUGUAUCUUUUGUUUGUCUAGAUGGAAUAGAAAAAACAAAUAAAAAGUGUAUACUGGUCACUUUGCCGAGUGUCAGCGCCAUAGCACUCGGUAGAGAAGCAAUACCUGGGCACCGGUAUAGCUUCUUUGCCGAGUGUUGUGGCCCUGGCACUCGUCAAAGAGGCAAGCUUUGCCGAGUACCUCCUAGAGCACUCGGCAAAGAUCCUGACAAAGGGACCCGCUGGUGGAGCCUUUGCCGAGUGCAGGUCGGCAGACACUCGGCAAAGUGGUAACUUCUUUUCCGAGUGUAUUAGGAGACACUCGGCAAAGGCAGCGUCGUCUUUACCGAGUGUUACCUAGAACACUAGGUAAAGCCGCCGUCUUCGUCACCCGCCUCCGUGACGGCUGCUUUUCUUUGCCGAGUACCGUCUGGCACCCGAUAAAAAGUACUCGGUAAAGAAGCCUUUACCGAUUUACUGUUCGCCGAGCCCUCUUUGUCGAGUAUUGCACUCGGCAAAGUCCUGCCGAGUGUUUUUUAGGAUUUAUCGAGUGCUUUAGGCACUCGGCAAAACGCCUUGUUCCGGUAGUGUUUGCACUCCUUAACAUAUAAAGUGUUUGUUUGGAAUUACAGUGUGUCCAACAAAUUUUAAACUAAGGGGGUGUUUGGUUUCUAGGGACUAAUAUUUAGUCCCUAGAUUUUAUUCCAUUUUAGUUCCAAAAUUGCCAAAUAUAGAAACUAAAACUUUAUUUUAGUUUCUAUAUUUAGCAAUUUAUACACUAAAAAGGAAUAAAAUGAAGGGACUAAACAUUAGCCCCUAGAAACCAAACACCCCCUAAAACACCCGCGUACAAAUGGCGUUUGAGAAAACAGCGGCGUGCACCGUUGACCGCGCGGGUGCACCGUUGGCGUGUUGUCGUCCUGGAGGGUGGGGGCCUCGCGCCAUCGCCAAGUCGCCCAUGUGUGUAGCGCUGUCUGCCACUGCCCUGGAAAAAGAAAACAGGAGUAGGUGACGAGUUGUUUCGCCGUUGACAUCCACUCCAUCAGCCCUUCCGCCCCUCCGAAAAUAGCCACAUGUAUAAUAAUUUCGUCGUUGUUAACGUAUAUCUGACAUUAUAUAUAUAUAUAUAUAUAUAUAUAUAUAUAUAUAUAUAUAUAUAUAUAUAUAUGGUUAUUGUUUUGUAUUAAAGUUGACUAUGGGUCUGUUUGGUUGGGCUGUGGCUGUGAAAAAAGUUGCUGUGGGCUGUGAGCUGUGGAAAAAGCUGCUGUAGGCUGUAAGCUGUUAAAAAGCUAAAAACCGUUUGGUGGAAACCACUAAAAGUCGUUAAAAAUUCUUUGAUAUAUGUUUUCACAGUUCCAUCCGAAAAGUCACUAAAAGCAGGUCCAGAGGUGCUUUCAGAUUUGCACUACGAGAAAGUUGACUUUUAGAAAAAAGCUGCUUCCUGAAUCCAGCCCUUUGGUUGGCUUUUGACUUUUAGGGGGCAAAAGCCAAAGCCAAAAGUCAAACCACGUAGCUUUCUUCUGCGGCUCAAUCACUCUCGCUUCCGUGUUCCGUGCCACCACCAAGAUUGACGAGUAGCCACCAAGGAUCGCCACGGCGCACCCACCCACCCUACCAUGUACCUUUUUUUCCUCCUCAGAGCUUGUUUGGGACAAAGGGUAAUGGAGGGGAUUGAGUGGGCUAUAAUCCCUCACUAUUCAAAAUUAAGUAGUAGGGGAUUCUAGCCCCCUCAAUCCACUUCAUUACCUUUGAUAACAAGCCCUCAGCGAACUCCCCCUCCCUCCUGACUCCCGUUGCGCGGGCGAGCAGCGGACCAUUGAUUCGCACACGCAUCCUCAGCUCAGGUAGACGCGGACCUCCAAACCAACCCAAGCUAGCGAUCCAUCUCAGCACCAGCGAGCGAGCUUCCUUGUCCGCCUCUGCGGUUCCCUUCGCUCCUCGACCUCGAUCAAUCAAUCAUUCGUGGGCUCGUGGCCCGGCCCCGGCCCUCCUUCGCGCCGCGCCACCUUCCAUGCUCGCUCGCUCGCACAUGGCCGCUCACCCCUCGCGCACAUGACACGGCGUAGGUAGUAGACCGAUCAAUUCCUCUUUCUUACACGGAAUGCUAUAAAUACAGAGCCGCCGGCCACCGGAUGAUGAUGAUGAUGAAUAGGCCGCAACCGCAGCAAGCCGGCCCGCUGCAGCUCCUCCGUUCGCUAGGACUAGGAGUAGGCGGAGGCGGAGGCGCCCGGCGGGGGGCCAUGAAGUCGGCCACGUCGCUCCUGCUCGGCGCCGCGCUCGCCACCGCCUUCUUCCUGCUCUACACCUCCCUCUGCCGCGACCUCGGCAGCGCCGCUGCCGCCGCGCCCAGGUCGGGAUCGCCGCCGCCGACGACGCCGCGGCGGGAGCAGGAGACCGGCGACACGGCCGCCGCUCGGCAGGAGGCCGCCACGGGAGAGGGCGGGGAAGAACGUGUGGCUGCGAGCAGCGACGGCGACCACAGAGGCGGCGACGCCACAGCGGAGGAGAAUGGUCAGAGCAAGGAGGAGGAGCAGCGGCGGAUUGUGAUGCCUGCCACGUCAACUACCCACGAGGUAAGUCGUUGAUAUUUGGCUUCUACUGUCCGGUUGCCAUUAUGAUUUGUUCAACAAAACUCAGCGGUUGGGGUGAUUACCCGUCGCUUGUAGAAUUUCGUUGUUGUCUAGUAGGUUUUUUUCCCGAAAUUAGGUUAUUAAUAGUUUUUCUGGCUGUUUAUUACAUUCUGUACUUCGAUCGCCUGGUCACUGCGUUGUUUCAAAUAAAGUUGUUUUUUUUAAUAACACAUAAUUUCCAAAUAAUGUUCAUACCUAACCUAACAUGGCCAGCUGAAGGACGGUACAGUGGUGCAUGUCAGAAGAGCGCAUACUUUAAGCGCAAAUUUUACUUAUUGUGCACAAUUUUCUAGUUAGUUCUUCUCAUUAAUUAACUUACAGUUGCUCAGAGAUCGAAUAAUAACAAGUGAACUAGCAUCGAUCAAUCAGCGCGGCUGCUCUUGCCUCACAAUUUACUCAUCUUGUCUCCGAUUAUUCAUUAGCGUUCCGAGGUAAAUCUGAUGUUCCCCACCACCCACCAGGCCACCUCCCACCAUAGACCGCAGCCGAAGCAGCAGAAGAAGAGCCCACCACCAGCGUCCCAGGAUCUGGCGGACCUGCUCCGGCGAGCGGCGACGGCGGACAAGACGGUGCUGAUGACGGCGAUCAACGAGGCGUGGGCAGCGCCAGGGUCGUUCCUGGACCUGUUCCUGGAGAGCUUCCGCCAGGGCGAGGACACAGCGGGCCUGCCGCGGCACCUGCUGGUCGUGGCCAUGGACGGCAGGGCCCUGGAGCGAUGCAACGCCGUGCACCCCUUCUGCUACCUGUUCCGCGUCGACGGCAUGGACUUCGCCGCCGAGCAGAAGUACAUGGAGGGCGACUACCUGGAGAUGAUGUGGCGCCGGAACCGGUUCCAGCAGAGCGUGCUGGAGCUGGGCUACAGCUUCCUCUUCACGGACGUGGACAUCCUGUGGUUCCGGAGCCCGUUCCCGCGCCUGCCCCGCGCCGCGCAGGUCGUCAUGUCGGCCGACUUCUUCGUCGGCGACGCCGACUCGCCCAACAACUACCCCAACGGCGGCCUCCUCUACGUCCGCUCCUCGCCCGCCACGGUGGGCUUCUACCGCCACUGGCAGGCGUCGCGCGCGCGGUUCCCGGGCCACCACGAGCAGUACGUCUUCGACAGGAUCGUCAAGGAAGGGUACGCCGGCGCCCGGGUGCAGUUCCUGGACACGGCCGUCUUCGGGGGCUUCUGCCAGCACGGCGACGACCUGGGCAGGGUGGCCACCAUGCACGCCAACUGCUGCGUGGGGCUGGACAACAAGCUCUUCGACCUCAAGAACGUGCUACAGGACUGGAAGACCUACAGAGCGCGCGCCGCCGCUGGCAACGCGCAGGGUUUCUCGUGGCGGGUGCCCGGAAAAUGCAUACACUGACUCAGCUGGCUCCAUCCUUGUCUAAACUCUGGAGGGGUUGAGCUCAUUUUUCGAUUGUUCGCCAGAUAGUACAACUUAACAGCUACAUCUCUUUUUUUUCCCUAAUGUAUACAUACAUAUAUUGUUUAUAUAUAUAUAUUUGUAAAGCUUUUUAUGGAAUGUAGAAAAAUUAUUAUUAAUGACGCAAACACCACCGCGUUUCAUCUCAAUCCGCGCAUAUCUCAAACGCAACGUCGAGGACAAGGACCAAGCAUAUGCAGGGCUCCGUCCAUUCCACAACACCAUCCGCGGGGUUACAACUAUAGAUGGCCAAAUGGGCGGCCCGGCACGGCACGGCACUGGCACGACCAGGCACGGCACGGUUAGGGCACGGCCCGUUUAGCACGAUUAUUAAUCGUGCCGUGCCGGCCCGGCACUAGUGCCUGAACCCAGGCCCAGGCACGGCACUAAGGGUCCUUAGCCGUGCCGUGCCGGCACGGCAGGCACGACCAGCCCAUAGUGCCAGGGCCGGCCCGGGCACUACAACAGAAAACACACAAAACCACAGAAAAUCACAGAAACACAUCCAUUCACUGAUUCACAAAUUAACACACAGUUAAACAUACUAAAAUACCUAAUACUGAGCUGUUUAGUGCAAUGGCUGCCUCAAUGAACUAGAAUAGAUUAGGGUCAGAUUAAUAACUUACCAAAGCCGGAGCACCAGAUCGGUCCCUCACGGCUCCAAUCACAGAACAUGCAGGCAGUAUAAUAGAUUAGGGUUCGAGCACAGCUCACAGAUCACAAGCACAGAUCAAAAGCACAGAUCACAAGCAUCAGAUUAAUAACUUACCAAAGGUCCAAAGCCGGAGCACCAGAUCGGUCCCUCACGGAUCCAACCUCCAAACACAGAACAAGGCGCAAGGCGGUAUAAUAGAUUAGGGUUCGCCGGUUUGAACAAGAUCCAGAGGCGACAAACACAAAGUAGAAGCACAAGCAAACCGCAAAUGAUGAGCAACUUACCAAAGCCGGACCGGAGCACCAGAUCGAUACCUCACGGCUCCAACCUUCAAUUCGGGUAGGGUUAAAGCACGGUUAGGGUUCGUCACAGAACAAUCACAGAACAGCCUCAGAUCUAGACGCGAAAGACACAAAUCAGAAGAACAAGCACGUGAUUAGCAACUUACCAAAGCCGGAGCACCAGAUCCAACCCCGACGGCACGAUGAUUAGGGUUCAAGCACGGUUAGGGUUACGCACCGACGCAGCGUUACAGGGAGAGGGAGCCGUAGAGGGGAGACCGGGAGAGAGACCAGAAGAAGAAGAACAGAAGUUCAAGAUCAGAGCACCAAACUUAGGGUUUCGAACUAGAUCCAGAGGCGACACGAGCAAGAGAGCACAACCGGCCAAGAGGAUAGUGUUACCAGCAGAGGCGCCGGAGAGGGAGAGGACCAGAUGAGGCGGCGGAGAGGCGGUGAGGGAGAGGAUGGAGGCGUCGCUUUCCAAAUCGCCGGUGAGUCACCAGGAGCGGAGGAGCCGAGGAGUCGCGGAGCGUUCGAGAGAGAGAGUGAGCUGUGAGAGUGAGAGAGUGACGCGGGGGACGGGGGAGGGGUUAUGUGUUAAUUCUCUCGUGCCUAACCGUGCCUAAACCCUAAUCGUGCCGUGCCCGUGCCGACCCACCGUGCCCCACACUCGGCCCAAGCACGGCACUAGAGGUCGGGCCGUGCCGGCACGGGCCCGCCUCCCGUCGUGCCGUGCCGUGCUUGGGCACGGUGGGCCGUGCCGUGCCUCGUGCCGGCCCGGUUAAGGCGGCACUACUGGCCAUCUAUAGUUACAACAGCUCAACGAAUCACGGUGAGCAACAAAACAGCACUGAAAAUGUAGUUGGCACGAGGAGAAAGCUGAGUUCUAAGAAUACUGCCUCAGUUCCACAUACAAUCUACACAUACCACUACUGAUUGACCAUGGUUAGCUUCCCAAAGAAUGCAGAAUCAAGCUUGCCUGCAGCAGUUACACAGGGAUAUCAUUUCCCUGGCCCAUUACUCCAAAUAAGUUGGAGGCUCAGAUCCUUCUAGCGACGAUGGAUCCCUUCCAUCACCCGCUUAUUACUUAGCUACGACAAAGACCAUGCUUCAAUCUUAUAUUUUCUGUGCCCUUCUCCCCACAUUGUCUUCAGCCAUAUCCGUACCUUCUGACUGGAUGAUCUCCAUGUCCCUGAUAUCCCUCUUCAACACAUUACCUAGCUUGGCAACUGCCUCUGUUUGUUGUUGUAAGGCCUGUGAUGUAGACAAUUACAAGUCAGGUUGACACAAGACCAGGCUAUCUAACAAGGACGAGGGCAAAACUGCACCACUUACCUCAAGAAGCUCUGUAACACUCCGCUCAUCAACUUUUGCAGAACUGGGAAUAUAAACGGAACCACCAGCACCACCACUGCUAGCCAGAAGACGCGACGUCGAAACAAGUGUAUUGACCCUCUUAGCAAGAUCAGCGUUAUGUCCUUUUAGCUGCAAACAGAAGACCAAAAUCGAUGAGAACCCAUAAUCGGCCAAAAAGUAGGAAUAACAAAUGGGGAGAAAACCUGACCCGCUUUAAUAUAGCAACCAAUCUUUCAUACAAGUCAGCUUCCUCCUUUGUUAAAGGACAGCGGUAGCCCCGAUUCUCCAAUGCCUCCACUAUUCUAACAAACUUUUAGCAGUUCGCAGAAUAACAACGAUGAGUUAGAUGCAUGGGCAAUUAGGCACGAAAAGUGAACUCACGCGAUCUAGAGAAAAUAUCACCCUUAAAAGACGUCUCUGAAUAGCCAGCUCUUGUUGCUUCAAUCGCUGGAUCCAAGGAUACGUGUCAGCUUGGAAAUGCCUUUGCAGCUGCAAUAGAAAAUAUGUUAGGCAAAAGAAGUGAGUAACGGAAGCGCGUAUGAAAACAUCCAUAUGAAGCUAUACCUUUUUAACAUUAGAGUGAGUCAUGCUCAAUCUAUCAGUGUCCGAAACAAGGACUUCAUCUUGAAGCUGCAAAGGAAAAGAACAAGUACCAAGGCUUCAAUAAAUUUCAAAGCUAAACCCUUGUAGAAAGUUGGGAAAUGGCUAAGAUAAUACCAUCAGAAGUACUGGAAAAGGUUACAAAGUUACAUGUAAAAGCUGAAAAUAUCAAGGUAUCUUUUACUUCUUUCCGUACCAAAAUACAAAAAGUGGGGCAUUCCUCACCCAGAGAAUGACAGAGACAAAUAUGACUACUGCAAGACUUAAAUAUAUGCCAUCAAUAUACAGAAGACAUAUAGUUCUAUCCUGCAGGGAGAUAAAUAUCUAAUGCAUAUGUGCAGCUCCACUUUAACUGCUUCAUCAACAUGUUGCGGAAUUGAAUUAUCACUAGACCAUGGAGGGCAGACAGAUGUGGCCAAUGUGAUCACGUAACUGAAUGAGAAUGUAAAGAUUGAAAACAAAUUGCUAUAGCAUAGAAAAUAUCACUGGCCAUGAAGUCUUUUUACAACGAUAACAACAACAACAAAGCCUUUUUAGCCCCAAAGCAAAUUGGGGUAGGCUAGAGUUAAAACCUAACAGAAGGCCCAAAUCAAAGUUCUGUCAUGUGGAUAUCUGUUUACCAUGCGCUCCAAUUCAAUACUAAAUCUUUGGUAUAUUCCAUCCUUUCAAGUCUCCUUUAACUAUCUCUUCCCAUGUCAAUUUUGGUAUUCUCCAAUCUCUCUUUCCAUUACUAUCGCGUCUUAAGAUCCCACUGUGCACUGGUGCCUCUAGAGGUCUCUAUUGGACAUGUCCAAACCAUCACAACUGAUGUUGGACAAGCUUUCCUUCAAUUGGUGCUACACCUAGCCUAUCACGUACAUCAUCUUUCUGGACUAGAUCCCUUCUUGUCUGGCCACAGAUCCAACACAACAUACACAUUUCCACAACACUUAUUUGUUGAACAUGUCAACUUUUUGUAGACCGACAUUUUGCACCAUAUAAUGUAGCAGAUCUAAUUGUCAUCCUAUAGGCUUGUCUUUUAGCUUCUGUAGUACCAUCUUGUCAAAACACUUGAUGAUUGGCGCCACUUCAUGCACCCUACUAUGAUUAUAUGGCUAACAUCUUCAUCAAUAUCUCCAUCUCUCUGUACCAUUGAUACUAAAUACCAAAAGGUAUCCUUCCUAUGCACUAAUUAACCUUCCAAACUAGCAUCUCCUUCCACGUGUAGUGGUGCCAAAGUCGCAUCUCCUACAUUCAGUUUUAGUUCUACUAAGUAUAACACCUCUGGACUCUAGAGUCUCCUGCCACAACUCUUGUUUCCUAUUUACUCUACCUGGCUUUCAUCAACUAGCACUAAAUUGUCCGUAAAAAACAUACACCAAGGGAUAUCCCCUUGUACCUUGUGGCCUCAUCCGUCAACAAUGCAAAAGGUAAGGGCUCAAAGUUGACCCUUGAUAUAUAUCCUAUUCUAAUCGAGAAGUCAUCUUUGUCUCCAAGUCUCUAUCACUUGUUCGAACACUAGUCACAAGGCCAUGAAGUCUUGUUACUGUCAAUAAAUUGGAAACAGCAAACAUUAUUUUUGCUUCUGUUAUUCUUUUGAGACUAUUAUCAUUAUCAAUUCAGAUGUUUAUAACUUUAUACGGAGACAAAUAGGUACAUUUUGAAUAAAAUGAGGUGAAUAAUGUAUUAGUGGCAUGAAUACUGUAAACCAUGAAUAGAAAUGUAUAAAAUGCCAAGGCUGAUUUUUUUUCCUUUUUAAAAAAUUUAGGCUACAGGCUAAUAAUCUGAUUCCUUCUUGGUUCUAACACAACCAAUGAGCCCAGUGUGCAAAUUUAAUGCAUCACUUCAGCUAGAAUUAUUGGAGAUUCAGAUGAAUGGAGCCAUGGACCACAUUUCUAGGGAAGGUAAAAGAAUGUGUUCUUUUUCUUCAACAACUACUAGCAAAGUGGAUUGCUUAGCCUGUUCUAUAUCCUUUUCUUUCACUGAGGGCCAACCCUACCUUUUUCUAGGUGACACUAGUCAACAGCCAACAUAACCAAAGAAUUAAACAAAAACUACUGUCAGUUCUGCUUCCUUGGGUUUUUCUUCCAAUUCAAACUUCAACUGUAUUAUAUUCUGAUUUCUGCUUUCAGAAGUUUUUUAUGUUAUAUGCAAUAUUGCAAUGCGACUUUUUUUUGUAGAAUGUCAUUUUUUUCUAUAUCCACAUGCUUAACAAAGAGCAUUCCGUCAGCAAAGAUGUUAUAAUUAUGUAAUGCUCCGUUUGGAUGUCGAUAUUGGAGAGGAUGGAAUUGAAUUAGGUUGAAUACCAAAUCAGGCAUGGUAUUGAAAUGAGAUGUAAUUCCAAUUCUAUUGUUUGGAUGUCACUGAAUUGGAGUUUGGAAUUGUGUGGUCUAAUUUCACGCAAUACCGAGGGGUGAGGCUUUGUAUUGGGAGAGGGUGUUCCUAGUUACAGUCCAAUUCCAGGGAAUUGAGCCUCUGACUCCAUAUCUCAAUUCCACGUGCAACCAAACAACAGAAUUUUGGAAAGCUGGUUCCAAUUCCCAAUUCUGCGCUCCAAUAUCUACAUCCAAACGGGGUAUAAACCAUAUUUCAUAACCUUUACAAAUUCAUUGUUGCAAUGAUACUUUACCAAUAUUGUUUUACAUGAUUCAAAUCACAAAGUUAGUCUAAAAGGUUCAAUGAAAUUUAUUCUUUCAUUGCCCAAUUAAAACAUCAAAUCCACCACAAAGUCUACUGUAAGUGAUUUCAACAUGUACAUGGGAAUUGGUCCAACUUGACAAGGAAAUCCAGCAUCUCUGAGAAUCAAUGUUACCUAAUGUAUGCUUAACAGUAUUGAUUAGAAAAGGAUGUGAUAUUUUUACAGAAGUCAUACACCAUUAUUUCUUAUCUUUAUGAGAACAUGUCAUACCAAACCCAUCUAGAUUCUAGAACAUAUAAGCAUGCUUGUUAGAAGCUCAGAUAUCAGCAUGCUUGUAUAGAUACAAAAAGAAGGGGAAAUUGUAAUAUUGCACACAAAAAAUCCAAAUUUACAUGAUUCCAUCAAAUCACAAAUCCUAAAAGGGCAUAAAUCCCGACAUUAUACCUUAAGCCGAUGGGAAAGGUCUUUAAAACCCUGCACAAGCUGAGGCCACAGCCUCUCCCUGUCUGCACUAUCCAUGCAUUCAAGUUUCCCCAUUGCUUCUGCCCACAUAAUCUGCCACAACGUAGAAAUAACAAGGAAUGAAAUGUUAUCAAAGGAAAGUGCAACAAAACAGAAGAUAGCAAAAUAUUUACACAAAUUUAUACAGGUGCUUACAUCUGAGGCAGCAACUGGCUUCACCCUUUGGGAAGGUUCUGUCACGCUGAACAACAAAUGCUGCCAGAUCAAAACAUACAGAAACAGACAAACCAAGUCGCAUCAACCCGAAUCUAGUGCACCACAAAGGAGAACAUAGUGACAAGUAAUCUCACCCUGAAAGCAUAACGUGGAUUACCGGGGUCCUCUUUGUACGCAUCCACAAUGGCCUGAAUUCACUCGGAAAUAAAACACCCAUUUAGUAUUUGCUCAGCAUUCUAGGCGAAUCUGAGAAGGAUUCCAUCGUUGCAUACCUGGAUGUCGCGGUCGGACGGGGAGAGCGGCAGCGGCGCAACGGGGGCCAUCUGGGUGGUGAUUUGCGCGCCGCCACCUCCUAGCAAGCCGAACGGAGAUGGGGACGGCGUCGCCUGCUGCUGGAACCCAAAGGGCGAGGGCGAAGGAGUCGCGCCAAACGCCGGCGCCGAAGAGGGCGUGCCGAAUGCCGAGGUCGACGAGGGUGUUCCGAAAUUGAGUGCGCCGAACGCCGGCGCCGAAGACGGCGUGCCGAAUGCUGAGGUCGACGAGGGCGUCCCGAAAUUCAGCGAGCCGAACGGCGGGGUCGUGGAAGUGGUCCCGAACGCUGGCGUCGACGACGAUGCCCCGAACGCAGGGGUCGUGGAAGCGGUCCCGAACGCUGGCGUAGACGACGGGGUACCGAAAGCGGGAGUCGACGAAGGGGUGCCGAAGGCAGGCGUCGACGAGAGGGUGCCGAAGGCCGGGGUGGACGACGUCGCGCCAAAUGCGGGGGUGGCGGAUGGCGUGCCAAAAACCGGGGUGCUGGAGGGGUUCCCGAAAGCGGGAGUGAUGGAUGGGGUCCCGAACAUGGCGGUGGCGGCGGAGAUCGCCGGCGUCAAUGUUCGGGAUGCGGGUUUAGGGUUCUGUUCUAGUGAGAGUAGAGGUGAGGAAACAAGGAGGGGCCGGGGGUUAUUCAAAUUUCAAAAACUUUCGGGGGUCGGCACGAAAGCAUCUCCGGUCUCGAGAAGGGGGUGUUUGGUUACUCCUGCUAAAGUUUAGGGGGUGUUUGGUUUCUAGGGACUAAUGUUUAGUCCCUUCAUUUUAUUCCUUUUUAGUGUAUAAAUUGCUAAAUAUAGAAACUAAAAUAAAGUUUUAGUUUCUAUAUUUGUCAAUUUUAGAACUAAAAUGGAAUAAAAUCUAGGGACUAAACAUUAGUCCCUAGAAACCAAACACCCCCUUAGUCCGGAUCACAUCAAGCGUUUGACUUUUAAAUAGGAGUAUGAAAUAUAGACCCAACCAACUGGACUAGAUUCGUCUCGUCUUUUAAUCUUCGGCUGACAAAUUAGUUUUAUAAUCCGACUACAUUUAAUACCCGGAAUGGAGGUUCAAACAUUCAAUGGGACAGGGGCUAAAUUUUAGUUUGGGGUAACCAAACACCCCCUAAGGAGUACUUUUUUUUCCUCUUUCUCUCUUUUUUUUUAUGGAGCCGUGGGGUGCCUCUUUUUUUUGUCCGUGGGAUAGGCUUCCUUUCUUGUUGGAUCUCCGGCCGAUCGUACGGAUGUCCUGUAAAAUAUUAUAUUGUUUUGCAAUAUAAAAAUAUUAUAUUAUUUUUGGAUAAAGGAUUGGGUACAAUAAAAACAUCCUGGAACUCCUCCAAUAAAGGCUAAAGUCCCUUUUCUGUGGGUGGCUUCUGAGUUUUAGGAACAGAUUCCAUUAGGGCUAGCACCCAUGUACCAUUUCCUUUUAACCAUUUUUCCACUUGUAUAGUGGACACCUCAAUCACAUUUUUACUUUGUCCACCAUUUCCCACCAACUUCACUCUCACUCCCUCAUCUUCAAAGCUAAUCACCCUCUCUUCUAAUCACAUUGCAUGGGGUUGUGCUGCUCCAACCAGUCAUAUCAUAGGAUUGCAUCAUAAGCUUCCAACUCUAGCACCCUCACAUCACUUUUAUAGGUGUGACCAUCUUCCCACUACUCGAGAGAUCUAACAAUCCUAUCACUCCUGAGUUUUUCACCAUUUGCUACCUUUACAGUAGCCAGAACACAUGGAGACACGGGAAGUCCCAACCCCUCCACCAUUUCUUACUGAUAAAGCUGGUGGUGCUUCCUAAAUCAACCAAGAUGAGCAUUACUUGAUUCAGUAUAAGAGCCCUUACUCUCUGCACCCUUCAGAUACAUCUGAAAGGGAAAUGUGUCCUUGGACCAUUUCUAUAUUGUUUUGGUGAUUAAACGAUAAACACAUUAUGUUUAUACUAACAUCAUCUUACAUGAGCAAUGAGCAUAGGCACGUAAAGCAAAUUGAGCUUGAAAGAGGGCAAAAUACAAAUCUAUAUGGUGCCAAGUGAAAACGAUAAGCUCUAGACACUUAGUCAAUUGUUCAAUUGUUUUGUGUACUAAUCAUACUUGUCUAAGUGCUAGGGACUUUAUGAAGUCAAGCCAAAAGGAGCAAAAGAGACUUAGAUUGAAAAAGGAGAAGGUGGACUGCUCUGUGUUGCAUCGGACGGUCCGGUGCCACCCACCAGACAAUCCGGUGUGCACCGGACAGUCUGGUGCACGGUCCAUCGAACAGCCUGCUCUGGGAAUUUCAGCCUGCGUCGGCUAUAAUUUACUGGACCGUCCGUGCAGAGCGCCGGACUGUCUGGUGUGCAAGCUAGCCAGCGGGUAGUGCCCACGUCGCCCGAGGACCAACGAUGCCACCCACCGGACAGUCUGGUGCCUCCCAGAAUAGGAAAUCAUCUGCCACACCCGGUUUUAGAAGGUAAACCGAAUGCGAACCAUGUACAUGCCAGGAUCAGCAAUUCACAUACACCCAUGUCAACUUAGGUUUUUGUUUACACGCGAUACAGACACCAGUCUCUAUACUGCUUUGAAAAUUGGAAGAAGGAGCGAAACGAGAAGAGAAAAGAGAGUAACGCCUGAAUUUGGUGAGUAUCAGAGAAUAAAAAAUUUACCCCUCAAAUUCAGGGUGUUACACCAGCCAAUCAGGGAUUUCGUAGCCACCCGCGGAUAGAAGGCAACCAGGGCCUUCCAAAUGGAGCUCCAACAGCUCCUAGGUCCCUUGGGCUAUAAAAGGGACCACUAGGCGCAUGGAGCACUACACCAAGCAUCCCUUGAACAUCCUACAAUGUCGAGACAAUGCGACCACACUUUUGCUUUGAUAGAUCGAGAUUCGAGCAUGUGAUUUGAGUUGUAACUCCGCUGCGUUGUCUUAUGUGCUCUUCUCUCAACUUGUUGUGAGUGUGUGUGUUGUUGUGAUUUUGUCUUGUGUGUUUCUCUACUCUCCCUUACACUUGUGGUUUAUUUUAGAUCAAUUGUGUAAGGCGUGAGAGACUCUAAAUUGUGGAGAUUCCUCACAACGGGAAAAACUUGAGAUAAGAAAAAAGAAUCGUGGUACUCAAGUUGAUCAUUGGAUCACUUGAGAGGGGUUGAGUGCAACCCUCGUCCAUUGGGAUGCCACAACGUGGAGUAGGCAAGCAUUUUACGCUUGACCGAACCACGGGAUAAAAAUCACUGUGUCACUUGUCUACUUUACUUUAUUGCGAUUCUAUUCUUUCUAGCACUUCACUUCACUUACAAUAUGCUCUAAGUUUAAUACUCAUCUUGUGAGUGCAAUUAAGUGAAGAAGUCCUCUUUGUUGUUCACUUGUUUUUUAUUGAUGUAAACCAUAAAACAAGGCAACACAAAUUUUAAGUGUUAAAGGACCUUCGUCCUUCAAAGCAUUAUUCCCUCUCGGGUAUAAGGAAUCUUAGACGAACGUUAUGAAGAACAAGUCCUCAUCAUUCAUAAAUAUAAAAAUUUACUUACAAGGUGUAAAUCAAGUCACAUAUUUAUUUCAUAAUGAAGAUAUAGAUACUAUCAAAGUUUGUAUUACAUCGAGACCUUCGGCUUGCUUGAGGCAAUGACGCGAGAGCAAUUACAAUUCAGAGUGAACAGUGCGGGAGUACUGUUCACCUAUUUAUAGGCAAGGGACACAGCCCAGAUAAAAAUACAAUUGUGACCUUAACAUAUAUACAUAAUCCUGAUACAAAACACCAGGGAUUAACCGGUCUUUUCCUCUUCAGCUCAACAUUAUGGUUGACCUUCGUAACCACCUUAAACCGAAGCUCUCUUCGGCGCUUUACACAUGCUCGUUGUAGCUUCGACAUUCAAUCUUGUUGCUUAUAGACAAUUUCUCCGCCUUGAGGACCUUCGGUAGAGAAGGAGACCCCCAAUAGUAGCCCGUUCGUAGUGCUAGGUCGUUUUUUCAUAAUGAGCUCGAUCCGUGAAAAACACGAAGGCUUCUAAAUGCCUAAGGUCCGAAAAUACCUUCCCUGAGCUUAUUAUUAAAAACGAAUAAAAAGUUACAUCCUUUGUCGGUCCACCGAUCAGUCAGUAUGCGCGUUGCGGCGGUUCACCUUCAUCACCUGCAAAGUUAUAUAAACAGAUGAGUUGGUAAGAAGUUACCACAACAUUCAUUGCUAUUGCAACGUUGUAAUGUUGAAAAAAUUCCCUGAAGCCAAAGCUUUUUUGCCAUCUUUGCACUUGCUGUGUGACCUUCGAAUAAACGUGAAAUUAGUUGAGAUUUAGCUUCGUCUCACAGAACUGAAAUGGCUAGAGUUAGGUCUACUGUCGGACUAAUAAACGAUGGAGAAGAAAUUGAAGCUACUGAGAUAGCCCCCAUUUCAGAAAUGAUGAAAUGUUCUGGGCUGUGGCGGAACUUCCCGAAUUAUUCCAACUUAAGUGUCUAAGUCCCGCCUUAGAGGCUAGACCACACUUAAAUGGGAAUAACACGUCAAUCCCUCGGAUCUAGUCCGGCGAGGCCACUGACAGGAUCAAGUACCACGUACUCACUCGAUGGUGAGGCACAGAGCAAAUACAAUAAAACAUAAAACCAUACAUUAAGGAGUAUUAAACUUAUUACAUCAUCAUCGGAGUUUUAGCAAAAGUAGUCAUCAUUGUUCGGAAUGCAGCGGAAUAAAACUAACAAUAAAUAAACAGAGAGAUGGGGAAGCCUGUCCCAUCACUCCUCGUGCUCCUCCUCAGCCGAGGUAGGGUCCCACUCGACUGUCCAGUCCGGUGGCAAGAUGGACGGCCAAGUCACUCCAGCAACCAUGUCCUCCAGAGAACCUGUAAAAUUAUGCCACAAGCAAGGCUGAGUAUACUAAUACUCAGCUAGACUUACCCGGUGUGAGGAGUCUACUCCUCUACCUCUAGACAUGCAUCUGUUUGGCUAGGGGGGUUUGGUUGCCAAAAGCACUAGCUGAGUCUAUAAAUCAAGUUUUAGCUUUGUCAAGUUUUAGUGUGACUCUCUUAAGACUACAUGUAUACCUAUCUAAUCAUACAUGGUAUCAAACAUUUAGCAAUCAACAACUUUUUCCAAGUCAUCUCAUUUCCACUUGUUACUCAAUGUAGCAGCAUGGAUCAAGCAGUCUCAUUAGCUGCGAGAAGCAGACGAUCCGGAUCGAGUUUUUAAACCUUGCAAGGUAAACCUAAACACACGACGUGGCGAGGCACUCCGUCCCCACACACAUCAACCGUCCCCAUCGAUUCCCCGUCAGCAGAUCAGGGCUCACCGCUUUGGCGUACAAUGCCUCACUGACCCCGACUGCCGUCGUGUAGUGACCGCACUUGUACCCACCAUAACCGGAAUGGGAGACUACGUCUUAGGUCGCGUGAGGGGAUAUGUCGGCUGCCAGGUUCACUCAGGUACUAGGCUUACCGAUUUACCAUAUUUCUCGGCAUAUGUUUAGUACGUUCAAACGCUUGACUCACGGUACCACACCUUAAUCCUUAUUCCAAUUUCCACCUCGUAGACAAUCAAUCCCCAUGGAUUGUUGUCCACAGAUCAACAUCAUUAGGCUAUGAACGGGGAUACAACCAAUUCCUGACCUCGCGCGAGUGCUGGAAAAAUCACUCGACUUCUACCGAGAUCCCUAAUUAGUAAGCAUCUACUCGACCUAGCAUACUUGUAUCCAUUUCAAAAGGAUUCCUGAGAUCAUGCAACUAGGGUUUCAAACAACUCCUACACUUAAGUGAAAAUUCCAUCCUACAAUCAUUAGAUGUAGUAAAAAAGCAUAAUAAAUAGGUUAUGCAUAAAACCGGGGCUUGCCUUCCAAAGUUGAGGCAGGCAGAUCCUCUGGGGCAGGCUCUGGUGCUGGAUCCGGGGCUACCUCCUGAGCAACUCCUUGCUCUGGCACGAGGAUGUACUCUCCGUUCGCGAGGUUACAAUCUAUCGAAUGCAAUGAAUAAGAUAUAUGUAUGCUAUGAUAUGUAGAAUUUAACAACAAUUAUGCCUUAGUGCAGAAAAACUAAGUUAGUUAAUCACUUAGGCCCUGUUUGUUUCAUUGGAAUUGAAUUCCAUUUUAAUAAUUAUAAUUUAGACUAAACUAAUUAAGUUCAUAUAUUUAUAUAUGUAAUAUAUUUGUAUAUUAUCUUAAAUCAUAUGAGAGAGAUAGUUAUAUAUUACAUUCAUGUUAUAACGAAGCAAGUAGAAGAGUGUGCUAUAAGUUGUACAUCAGAAAAAUAACAUGUAAUCUAUAGAAUAAAUUUCCAUCUCUCAUCUCAUGAAUUUAAGAUAGGCUUAUAUGAUAACUUUGGAAAGUGGUGGAAUGUCACAUUCUAAAAAAUAGCCAUUUUAAUAACAAGAUUCCAAUUCCUCAAAAUGAAAGGAAACAAACGGGGCCUUAGGGUUUCCUUGUUAUAAGAGGCUCUUAGGGUUUUAGGCUUAUCAAUUUAGGUUUGAGGUUUUGCCUAGCAUAAUGGAUUAAGACUUGGAUUGCCUCUUAAAUGUUUUAGUAGGCACUCAAGGGGUUUCGCUGGUUUGGUUAGGGUAACAUUAGUCUCCACCAUUAAUUCCCCUUUUUAUUUUCUAUUUAGGAUUUUUGAGUGUGUUUAAACUAUAACAGUGAUUUAAAUUCUUCCAAAAAUUCUGUAAAAAUUACAGUGGGUUACUAUUGGUCACUGUAGUCUGUCCUAUAAGUUUGGGGUCCAGAAUAAUUAAAAUAAUCCCUGGACAAAAAUAACAAAGGUUGGGGCAAAAGGGGUCACUUUGCACUGCAACUCUUAUCUAGGGGUGGGUUUUGUACUGAGAGUCAUUUUUCUGGUAUUUAUAGGUAAUAACAUGCUUCUGUGCCAAAAAUCACAGAAGGUUACUUAGUGGUUAUUUAGUUAUGCUUUUCUAAAGUUUAAUGCUAAAAAGACACUUACAACUAACUUGUUAUUUGAAAAAUGUCAAACAACAGAACUCAUAAUUUUUCUAUGUUUAUAGUAACAAAACAUUAGUUAUCCCAAGGUUUGGGGUGUUUUCUCUUCAGGGUUAUUUUCUAGGGUUUUUCUAAGUUUUCCUUAUUUUUCUAAAAUAAAAAGUAUCUCCUUUCUUUUGUACUAAACAAAGGUAUAAUAAAAUAGGUUUGGGGUGUUUUCUCUUCAGGGUUAUUUUCUAGGGUUUUUCUAAGUUUUCCUUGUUUUUCUAAAAUAAAAAGUAUCUCCUUUCUUUUGUACUAAACAAAGGUAUAAUAAAAUUUUCUAGUGAACUACACUGAAUAAGGGAGCUAACAAAAAUGUGGGUGCUCCCUGGUUCUUAUUUUAAAUAACCUAUUAUAUUUUCUUUAACUUUAAGCUAAAAAUGAUUUAAAUGGCAAACUCUAUUUUAAUUGGGUGUACAGAGGGGUAUAUUAUUUUUAAACAGGUUAGGAAGUGAUUAAGUGCUUCUCUGAAUUUUCUUAAUCCCAGUCUAAUAGUAUAGCUAUUUUUCCUUAUUUUAUUUAGCUUUUGAUCAGUUAAUCAUUUAAAUCUAAACUUUGAAGUUUUCUGCAACACUUAGGGGUUUUAUAUUUUUCCUAAGUAGCUUACAUUAUUUAGGAUCUGGCAAAAUUGGUUUGAUUUGAUUUGGGUAAACAAAACUGAAGUUAUGAAUUUUUCAAGUCCUAUUUGUAUUUAAAUCAGAAAUAAUAAAAAGGUUUUCUGGAAAUCCACUUUGCACCGAAGACCCUGGGUUCUUUCUAAACUAAUCCCCUCAGUUAUACCCCUGCGCCACUAUUCCCUUGAGUCGCUGACAAUGCACAAAACCCCCUGGCUUUUACUUCUUCUCCCCCGAGGUCCUUCCCCUUAUUUAAAUAGUACCCGUGGAAGUAAAAAGGGCGACAUGGCUUACUGGCGACGAGGGAGGUCCGGCGAGGUGGUCAGUGACGUAGGGGAGGUCACGCCGGUCACGUCGGUGUGCGUGUCAGCGUCAGAGGUGGUCAGAGUGGCCCUGGCCACGAGCGCAGGCGGUGGAGGUCGUCGGCGGCUCCUGUUCCGACCAAACCACGGCGAUAUAGCUCAAUUAAACGGCACGAGGAGCUCCACGGGGUGACGUAGAGGCUAUGCGUGCAGUGAAUUGGAAAAUAGUGCAGAGACUCACCCGGUCCACGUGCGCCGGCGGGGUUCCGAACUCCGGCGAGCACGAUUGCGCUUUUCUGGUGGCGGGGGUCCUCAGUUCAAGCUCUGGCAAACUUCACGGCCUCCCAGGGGACCUAUCUAGGGGCUUGGAUCAAGCGGAGGAGGGCGGGAAAUGGUUCGGCCACGGUGGUUGCCCUCGGGCGGCUCUGGCGGGUCGUGGGGAGGUCGCCGGAGCUAUGGACGAGCUCCGGGGAGUUUGGCGCGGUACAGAGCAUGCAAUGGGGAAGAUAGCCGGGCACUGGGCGGGCUUUAUAGCUGUGGCGCGGGCAUGGUCACGGGGCGGCCGCGGGCGCGCGGGGGUUCUCGCACGGGCGUGCUCUGAGCGCGCCCCCGAGUGUCAGCCCUCGUCGAACACGUGUGUGUUUGCUUCUGCCAUGGUUCAACGGCCGAUUGGAGUACCUUAGCGUGCAGAUCUUGGCAAAACACCCGUGUACGGUCUCUUCCCUGCACCAAAUCCUACCUUUUUUAUGUGAGUCCCAAGCAAGGAUACGGUCGGGGUAGGGAGAUAUAGGGGUGAGAAGUUGCCUUUGUCCUAGCUGUCCAAACCAAGACAAAAGCUAUGCCAAGUCGUGUCAAACGACUUAGGGUUGGGUUCAACCUUUUCCAGGGUGUUCUAGAGGUAUUUUGGCGCCACUUUGUCAAUUGGGUCAAAUGGUUUUGAAGUUUGAAAGAGGGUGAACAUGUUUGAUCUUUGGAAAAGGGGUGGUUUUGGACUUAGAAAGAUUCUGAUUUUCCUUUUAUGCUCAACCCUUUGGUGAACCUUUUGGGGUUUUUCUAAAAUCUUUUUGGGGUCACUUCCUUACUAUCAUUUGUAGGGUAUUAAGUGUACUACAUCUUUUAUAAUUGGCCCAAGUCAUGAUCAUGUGGUGUUCAUAGCCUUUUGGUCAUACUUACUUCUAGUGCUCCAAUUGUCCAAAGGGGUUUGCAUUAGGGUUUGGGCAGCUCUCCCCAUUAUGUGUGCAUGACAAGCCAAGGUAUGACUUCCAAGAUGGGUUGCACUUACUUAGGAUCUUGAGUUCCAAAUUUGGUGUACUUUCCCAACUUAAGUCACAUGUGAUGAUGGGCUUACUUGUGUAGUCUUGAGUGAAAACCCUAAGUAACACCUAGGGUGUUACAACCCUCCCCCCCUUAAAGGAAUCUGAAAGGGAAUUAGGCUUACACCUAGUCCCUAAUUAAUUUUGGUGGUUGAAUUGGCCAACACAAAUAAUUGGACUAACUAGUUUGCCAAAGUGUAUAGAUUAUACAGGUGUAAAAGGUUCACACUCAGCCAAUAAAAGACCAAGUUUUGGAUUCAACAAAGGAGCAAAGGGGCAACCGAAGGCACCCCUGGUCUGGCGCACCGGACUGUCCGGUGUGCCACCGGACAUGUCCGGUGCACCAGGGGACUCAGACUCAAACUCGCCACCUUCGGGAAUUCCCAGAGGCGACUCGGCUAUAAUUCACCAGACUGUCCGGUGUACACCGGACAGUGUCCGGUGCGCCAAGGGAGGUCGGCCUCAGGAACUCGCCAGCUUCGGGAAACUCCAACGGCUAGUCCACUAUAAUUCACCGGACUGUCCGGUGUGCACCGGACUGUCCGGUGCGACUCCGAAGCAACGGCUACCUCCGCGCCAACGGCUCUCUGCGGUGCAAUAAAUGCGCGCGCAGCGCGCACAGAUGGCAGGCGUGCCCAUACUGGCACACCGGACAAGGAACAGUAGAUGUCCGGUGUGCACCGGACACCCUGGAGGGCCCACAAGUCAGAAGUUCCAACGGUCAGAAUCCAACGGCAGUGAAGACGUGGCAGGGGGCAUCGGACUGUCCGGUGUGCACCGGACUGUCCGGUGCGCCAUCGAGCAGACAGCCUUCCAACGGCCACUUUUGGUGGUUGGGGCUAUAAAUACCCCAACCACCCCACCAUUCAUUGCAUCCAAGUUUUCCACUUCCCAACCACUACAAGAGCUCUAGCAUUCAAUUCUAGACACACCAAAGAGAUCAAAUCCUCUCCAAUUCCACACAAAGCCCUAGCGACUAGUGAGAGUGAUUUGCCGUGUUCAUUUGAGCUCUUGCGCUUGGAUUGCUUCUUUUCUUUCUCACUUGUUCUUGUGAUCAAAACUCCAUUGUAAUCAAGGCAAGAGGCACCAAUUGUGUGGUGGCCCUUGCGGGGAAGUUUUGUUCCCGGCUUUGAUUUGAGAAGAGAAGCUCACUCGGUCCGAGGGACCGUUUGAGAGAGGGAAGGGUUGAAAGAGACCCGACCUUUGUGGCCUCCUCAACGGGGAGUAGGUUUGAGAGAACCGAACCUCGGUAAAACAAAUCCGUGUGUCACACUUCAUUAUUUGCUCGCGAUUUGUUUUGGGCCCUCUCUCGCGGACUCGUUUACAUUUCUAACGCUAACCCGGCUUGUAGUUGUGUUUAUAUUUGUAAAUUUCAGUUUCGCCCUAUUCACCCCCCCUCUAGGCGACUAUCAAUUGGUAUCAAAGCCCGGUGCUUCAUUAGAGCCUAACCGCUCGAAGUGAUGUCGGGAGAUCACGCCAAGAAGGAGAUGGAGACCGGCGAAAAGCCCACUACAAGCCACAGGAGCACUUCAUCGGAAGAGUCCCGCACCAAGAGGAAGGAGAAGAAGAAGGACUCCUCCAAACGGAAGGAGAAAAAGUCUUCCUCUUCUCACCACAAAGAGAAGAAGGAAAAAUCUUCUUCCCACAAGCCGCAUCGGAAAGGCGACAAGCACAAGAGGAUGAGGAAAGUGGUCUACUACGAGACCGACACUUCAUCAACAUCGACCUCCGACUCCGAUGCGCCCUCCGUCACUUCUAAGCGCCAAGAGCGCAAGAAGUAUAGUAAGAUCCCCUUACACUACCCUCGCAUUUCCAAACAUACACCUUUACUUUCCGUCCCAUUAGGCAAACCACCAACUUUUGAUGGUGAAGAUUACGCUAGGUGGAGCGAUUUAAUGCGAUUUCAUCUAACCUCGCUCCACAAAAGCAUAUGGGAUGUUGUUGAGUUUGGUGCACAGGUACCGUCAGUAGGGGAUGAGGACUAUGAUGAGGAUGAGGUGGCCCAAAUCGAGCACUUCAACUCUCAAGCAACAACAAUACUCCUCGCCUCUCUAAGUAGAGAGGAGUAUAACAAAGUACAAGGGUUGAAGAGCGCUAAGGAGAUUUGGGAUGUGCUCAAAACCGCGCACGAGGGAGACGAGCUCACCAAGAUCACCAAGCGGGAAACGAUCGAGGGGGAGCUCGGUCGGUUCCGGCUUCGCAAAGGGGAGGAGCCACAACACAUGUACAACCGGCUCAAGACCUUGGUGAAUCAAGUACGCAACCUCGGGAGCGUAAAGUGGGAUGACCACGAGAUGGUUAAGGUUAUUCUAAGAUCUCUUAUUUUCCUUAACCCUACUCAAGUUCAAUUAAUCCGUGGUAAUCCUAGAUAUACUAAAAUGACCCCCGAGGAAGUUAUCGGGAAUUUUGUGAGUUUUGAGUGCAUGAUCGAAGGCUCGAGGAAGAUCAACGAGCUUGAUGAUGCCACCACAUCCGAAGCUCAACCCGUUGCAUUCAAGGCAACGGAGGAGAAGAAGGAGGAGUCUACACCAAGUCGACAACCAAUAGACGCCUCCAAGCUCGACAAUGAGGAAAUGGUGCUCGUCAUCAAGAGCUUCCGCCAAAUCCUCAAGCAAAGGAGGGGGAAGGAUUACAAAUCCCGCUCCAAGAAGGUUUGCUACAAGUGUGGUAAGCCCGGUCAUUUUAUUGCUAAAUGUCCUAUAUCUAGUGACAGUGACCGAGGUGACGACAAGAAGGGGAGGCGAAAGGAGAAGAAGAAGUACUACAAGAAGAAGGGCGGUGAUGCCCAUGUUUGUCAGGAGUGGGACUCCGACGAAAGCUCAAGCGACUCCUCCGACGACGAGGACGCCGCCAACAUCGCCGUCACCAAGGGACUCCUCUUCCCCAACGUCGGCCACAAGUGCCUCAUGGCAAAGGACGGCAAAAAGAAGAAGGUUAAAUCCAACUCCUCCACUAAAUAUGAGUCUUCUAGUGAUGAUAAUGCUAGUGGUGAGGAAGAUAAUUUGCGAACUCUUUUUGCCAACCUAAACAUGGAACAAAAGGAGAAAUUAAAUGAACUAAUUAGUGCCAUCCAUGAGAAGGAUGAUCUCUUGGACUCCCAAGAGGACUUCCUAAUCAAGGAAAAUAAGAAACAUGUUAAGGUUAAAAAUGCUUACGCUUUACAAGUUGAAAAAUGUGAAAAAUUAUCUAGUGAGCUAAGCACUUGCCGUGAGAUAAUUGACAACCUUAGAAAUGAAAAUACUAGUUUAAAUACUAAGGUUGAUUCUCAUGUUUGUAAUGUUUCAAUUCCCAAUCCUAGAGAUAAUAAUGAUAAUUUGCUUGCUAGGAUUGAAGAAUUAAACAUUUCUCUUGCUAGCCUUAGAUUAGAGAAUGAAAAUUUGAUUGCUAAGGCUAAAGAUUUUGAUGUUUGCAAUGCUACCAUUUCCGACCUUAGAACUAAGAAUGAAAUGUUGCAUGCUAAGGUUGUAGAACUUAAAACUUGCAAACCCUCUACAUCUAAUGUUGAGCAUGUUUCUAUUUGCACUAGAUGUAGAGAUAUUGAUAUUAAUGCUAUUCAUGAUCACAUGUCGUUAAUUAAACAACAAAAUGAUCACAUAGCAAAACUAGAUGCUAAAAUUGCCGAGCAUAACUUAGAAAAUGAAAAAUUUAAGUUUGCUAGAAGUAUGCUCUAUAAUGGGAGACGCCCUGGCAUCAAGGAUGGCAUUGGCUUCCAAAGGGGAGACAAUGUCAAACUUAAUGCCCCUCCUAAGAACUUGUCUAACUUUGUUAAGGGCAAGGCUCCCAUGCCUCAGGAUAACGAGGGCUACAUUUUGUACCCUACCGGUUAUCCCGAGAGCAAAAUUAGGAAAACUCAUUCUAGGAAGUCUCACUCUGGCCCUAAUCAUGCUUUUAUGUAUAAGGGUGAGACAUCUAGCUCUAGGCAACCAACCCGUGCCAAGUUGCCUAGAAAGAAAACUCCUAUUGCAUCAAAUGAUCAUGCUAUUUCAUUUAAAACUUUUGAUGCUUCUUAUGUGCUUACAAGCAAAUCCGGCAAGGUAGUUGCCAAAUUUGUUGGGGGCAAACACAAGGGAUCAAAGACUUGUGUUUCGGUACCCAAAGUUCUUGUUUCUAAUGCCAAAGGACCCAAAACAGUUUGGGUACCUAAAGUCAAGAACUAAAUUUGUUUUGUAGGUUUAUGCAUCCGGGGGCUCAAGUUGGAUACUCGACAGCGGGUGCACAAACCACAUGACCGGGGAGAAAAGGAUUGUUCUCCUCAUAUGAGAAAAACCAAGAUCCCCAACGAGCUAUCACAUUCGGGGAUGGAAAUCAAGGAUUCCAAGUAAAACAACUCCAAGAGGGCACCUUCAUUAGCCAAACGAAGUACACUCAAGACAUCCUAAGCAAGUUUGGAAUGAAGGAUGCCAAGCCCAUCAAGACACCCAUGGGAACCAAUGGGCAUCUCGACCUCGACACGGGAGGUAAGUCCGUGGAUCAAAAGGUAUAUCGGUCGAUGAUUGGUUCAUUGCUUUAUUUAUGUGCAUCUCGACCGGAUAUUAUGCUUUCAGUUUGCAUGUGUGCAAGAUUCCAAUCCGACCCUAAGGAAUCACACCUUACGGCCGUAAAACGAAUCUUGAGAUACUUGGUUUAUACUCCUAAGUUUGGGCUUUGGUACCCUCGGGGAUCCACAUUUGAUUUACUUGGUUAUUCCGAUGCCGAUUGGGCAGGGUGUAAGAUUAAUAGGAAGAGCACAUCGGGGACUUGCCAGUUCUUGGGAAGAUCCUUGGUGUCUUGGGCUUCAAAGAAGCAAAAUUCGGUUGCUCUUUCCACCGCCGAAGCCGAGUACAUUGCCGCAGGUCAUUGUUGCGCACAAUUGCUUUGGAUGAGGCAAACCCUGCGGGACUACGGUUACAAAUUAACCAAAGUCCCUUUGCUAUGUGAUAAUGAGAGUGCAAUCAAAAUGGCCGACAAUCCCGUCGAGCAUAGCCGCACUAAGCACAUAGCCAUUCGGUAUCAUUUUCUUAGGGAUCACCAACAAAAGGGAGAUAUCGAGAUUUCUUACAUUAAUACUAAAGAUCAAUUAGCCGAUAUCUUUACCAAGCCACUUGAUGAACAAUCUUUUACCAAACUUAGGCAUGAGCUCAAUAUUCUUGAUUCUAGAAAUUUCUUUUGCUAGUUUUGCACACAUAGCACACAAGUAUACCUUUGAUCAUGUCUCUUUUAUAUAUGCUAUGACUAAUGUGUUUUCAAGAGUGUUUCAAACCAAGUCAUAGGUAUAUUGAAAGGGAAUUGGAGUCUUCGGCGAAGACAAAGGCUUCCACUCCGCAACUCAUACUUCGCCAUCACUCCAAGCAACUCUCUAUUCUUUGGGGGAGAAAUGAGCAUCAAAGAAAAGGACUUCGUCUUUGGGAGAGAGUAAGAGCUCAAAGCUAAAGGACAGGACUUCGCCUUUGGUAUAAUCCUAACUCAUUUAUUUAUGCCCAAAGGGGAAGAUAGCACUUCGAGGGCUCUAAUAAUUCCGUUUUUGGCGAUUCAUGCCAAAGGGGGAGAGAGUAUGAGCCCAAAGCAAAAGGACCGCACCACCACCAAUUUCAAAAACUUAGUGCUUUCCAAAAGUAUUUUUCAAUUGGUAUCCUAUUGUGUUCAAAAGGAAAAGAAAAUUAGUUUUUCAAAAAUAUAUGUCAAAACCCUCUUGAACACUAAGAGGUGGAUCUCCUUUAGGGGGAGUUUUGUUAAGUCAAAGGAAAAGCAUUUGAAACAGGGGGAGAAAAUUUCAAAUCUUGAAAAUGCUUUGCAAACUCUUAUUCAUUUACCUUUGACUAUUUGCAAAAGAACUUUGAAAAAGAUUUACAAAAGAG